AUGGACUUCUCGGCCUUGAGUACCUUGGCAACCCUCAACCUCUCGGACAACCAUCUCGUUGGGAGCAUUCCUUCAAGCAUAGAGCAUAUUAGAGGGCUCCAUGCUCUACUUCUGCACAGUAAUCAGAUAAGAGGCUCAAUUCCACCUGCUUUAGCAAACCUCACAAAACUCACAACCUUGCGUCUUUCCAAUAAUGAGAUUGCAGGAUCAGUUCCUUGAGAAAUUGGGAAUUUAGGGAUGCUGAAAGGCCUCAAUCUUAGUGUAAACAAACUUGAAGAUUAUAUUCCAGCUAGUAUAGGAAACUUGACACAGCUAAGAAGUCUUCAUCUUCAUACUAACAAGUUCAUCGGACCCAUCCCUCGGGAAAUAAGGAAUUUGGUAAACCUGGAGGAUUUGCAACUCGUAUUGAACAAACUUAUAGGAUCCAUACCAGCAUACUUGGGAAAUCUGAGUAAACUCACGACCUUGUAUCUCUGGGGUAACGACUUGUCUGGCCACAUUCCUCAAGAACUAGGUCAUUUGAUCAAGUUAGAGAACUUUGUGCUUGCUGAGAACAAACACACAGGCCACAUCCCUCUACAACUAGGGAAUUUGACUAAGGCCACUUCCAUAGCUUUUAGUUUCAACCAACUUUUUGGACACAUUCCUCCAGAAAUUGGCAGGUUAACGAGUUUGGCAAACUUCCAAGGUUCUCAUAACAAUCUCUCUGGUAAAUUGCCAUCGGGUAUUUGUGGGAGAGGCCAGCUGGAGAAGUUCAGCGUCAAUGGCAACGACUUGGUUGGUCCCUUGCCUACAAGCUUGCUAAGCUACAGAAGCCUAGUGAGAUUUCGCCUUGAGGGAGAUAUCUCCGAGAUGGGAGUUCACCCGAAUCUUGUCUAUAUUGACAUCACUUCAAAUAGACUAUUUGGCCAAUUUUCUGAUGGCUGGGGAGAGUGCCGCAACCUUACCAUGUUGCGUGCCUCAAACAACAAUAUCACUGGAUUCAUACCGCCAGGCAUGGGGCAAUUAUCACUGUUGCGAAUACUUGAUGUUUCCUCAAAUAUACUUGAAGGACGAAUUCCAUCGAAAAUUGGUGAUCUAUCAGUAUUGUUCAAUCUGAGCCUUGGUAAUAACUUGCUUCAAGGAAGUAUUCCAAAAGUAACUGGAACAAUGAAAGAAUUGGAGUAUCUGGAUUUAUGAUCAAACAACUUGAGUGGGUCGAUACACGGGUCAAUUGAGCAUUGGUCCAAGUUUCGCACUCUAAAGUUAAGCCAUAAUCACCUCAAUGGCAGCAUUCCUAUUGAACUAGGGAUGUUGGUAAACCUACAAGAUUUGUUUGAUCUAAGUGACAAUUCAUUCGAAGGCAAGAUACUGAGUCAUCUAGGUAGCCUGAGCAUGCUCGAGAACUUGAAUCUUUCACACAAUGCAUUGAACGGCAGCAUUCCGUCAUCAUUUCAGAGCCUAGUCAGCCUCUUAUCCAUGGAUGUGUCAUACAACAAACUGGAAGGGCCGGUUCCACAAAGUGUGUUCUUUGAAGAUGCUCCAACUGAAUGGUUUUUGCACAAUAAUCAACUAUGUGGUGUAGUUAAAGGUUUGCCCUCUUGUGAAAUUACUCAAAGUCGUGGACAACAUAAGAAUUACAAAGUUGUUUUACUAGCUAUAAUUCCUGCCACUAUUGUUGUUGUGCUUAUUGUUAGAGUAGUAACAAUAUUGAGAUAUAAAAGGAAGAAAUAUAGCACAUGAAGUGGUAAUGGCUUGCAGCAAACAAAGUUGUUCGUCAUCUGGAACAUUGAUGGACAAGAUCUGUACAAGAAAAUUGUUGACGCCACAAAGAAUUUCGGUGAUAGUCACUGCAUUGGAACUGGAGAUAGUGGGUCGGUGUAUAGAGCUCAGUUACCUAGUGGUGAAAUAUUUGCGGUGAAGAAGAUCCAUCUGAUGGAAGAUGAUGAGUCAUUUGAUCAUGAAAUAGAUGCAUUGAUCCAUAUUUAGCAUCGAAACAUUGUGAAGUUAUUUGGCUACUGUUCUGCAACUCAGGGAAGAUUUCUGGUGUACGAAUACAUGGACAGAAGAAGCUUAGCAUAAUCUUUAAAGAAUAGGGAAACUAUAGCUGAUUUGGAUUGGAUAAGAAGGUUAAAUAUUAUCAAUGAUGUUUCUCAUGCUUUAUCUUAAAUGCAUCAUGAUUGCUUUGCACCGAUAGUCCAUAGAGACAUAUCAAGCAACAACAUUUUGCUUGAUCUGGAAUUCAGAGCAUGCAUCUCUGAUUUUGGUAUAGCCAAAGUACUAUAUGCGGAUGAUUCAAACUGCACAAGGCUUGCCGGGACAAAAGGGUAUCUUGCCCUAGGUAAAUUAUAUCCUUUUCUGUUAGAUCCGUGUGUUGUUAUGUUUUCUUUCUCUUCCGACCAAAUUUUAAAAUUUUAUAUUUAUUUUGCUGAGGAUGCCAAGAAGUAA
Molecule: ribosomal RNA, 2427 nt
Filed under: Triticum aestivum (bread wheat)
Lineage: Eukaryota; Viridiplantae; Streptophyta; Magnoliopsida; Poales; Poaceae
Description: partial small subunit ribosomal RNA
Source: RNAcentral